ACACACCCUCGGAUUGACGUGCGCACGCGCACCGGUUACCUUCAGGAGCGCCGAAGAAGGAAAGAAGAACACAGAGCCCGAGGCAAAGCUUAAGUGCUUACGCUUUUGUCGGGAGGUACAGACCCAGCUCUGCGAGAGCCAGGGGAAAAGGAAGAGAGGCAGGGAAGGAAUGGCAGCAAGUACAAGGUGAUGAAUGACUGCACUGGCCAUUGCUUCAUGAAGAGCCACGAAAAAACAGAGCCGGUUUCUCAGCAGGUGGCUGGCUGCUCAGUCACAAAGGACCUCUUUGGACAGGCUUUAUGGAAAUACUGUGCCUAGGACAGUCGCUCAAAGGCAGGAGGGAGAGAAAAUGCAUCUGCAAGCUCACUUUGUCUUCUUUCUUCUGCUGGUCAAAAUUUGCUGGCUGGGGCAGUUAACGCCCUCACACAUCCGAGUUGUGUCACCUGGCCCCUUUGGUAGCCACUGGGGAAGCCAGAUCUAGGCAUGUGGCCUGAUGGCUCCUGCGGUGGAACCACAUGCUCACACUCAGUCAGUCACCACUGGGAUGCCCUGGGCAGGGCAGGCUGAGUGGCUGGGAGAUAGCUGAGCCUAAGAUAUCUAAGCAAGCACCUGUGAUGUAUGCACUGCAGUGUCCAAAUGUGAAAAAGCAAGAAAGGGAGAUAGAAGCAUAUUUUUUUCUGGAGAGAAGGAGGAAACCACCAGGAGAAUACAAACAGAAAAAAGACAUGCUCAUCAUGCCCUGCAAACUCCUAUGAACUGGAACUACAGCAGCUGUUCUGCCAGGGACAGGUUCUUCUCUAAAGUUCCAGCUCUCUGGAGGGAGAAAGCCCUGACUUUGGAUGGAGUUGAGCUCUGUCGCCCAGGCUGGAGUGCAGUGGCACCAUCUCAGCUGACUGUGACCUCCGCCUCCUGGGUUCAAGUGAUUCUCCUGCAUCAGCCUCCCGAGUAGCUGGGACUACAGGUGCACACCACCAUGCCCGGCUAAUUUUUGUAUUUUUAGUAGAGACGGGGUUUUGCCAUGAUGGCCAGGUUUGGUCUCAAACUCCUAACCUCAAGUGAUCCACCCUCCUCAGCCUCCCAAAGUGCUGGGAUUACAGGCGUGAGCCACUGCGCCCCGCCUACUUGAAUUUUUUUUUUUUUUUUUUUUUUUGAGACAGAGUUUUGCUCCUGUUGCCCAGGCUGGAGUGCAACGGCAUGAUCUCGACUCACUGCAACCUCUGCCUCCUGGGUUCAAGUGAUUCUCCUGCCUCAGCCUCCCAAAUAGCUGGGAUUACAGGUGCCCACCACUGUGCCUGGCUGAUUGUAUUUUUAGUAGAGAUGGGGUUUCAUCAUGUUGGUCAGGCUGGUCUUGAACUCCAGACCUCAGGUGAUCGGACUGCCUCGGCCUCCCAAAGUGCUGGGAUUACAGGCAUGACCCACUGUGCCCGGACCUGCUUGAAUUUUUAUGAUGAGCAUGUUGGCAGAUCACGGUUAGUUUUCAACAAAUAUCCAUGUGCUUCUCUAUGUUUCCCAAUCUCUGUGCUUCUAGGUGUGUUUGUGGGACUAAUUCUCACCAAUGGAAUGUGUGUGGAAGUAAUGCGUCUCCUUCAGGCUGAGGCAGUUAAGAGACAAGGACUAUUGGGGGCCAUCUCUGAGGCUAGCUAUCACAGAGACCAUAAGAUAUUCAGCAACGUGAUAGACUCAGUUUGCCUGUGUAAUUUAUAGAGGACAUGAAGACAAAUUUCAGGUUGCUGUUUUGUUGUAUAAUUCCCUGAAAUUAUCUUGUUUAUUGGGUCUUUCCUGCCUUACUGGAAUAUCAGCUUCCUGAGAGUGUAAAGCUCGUGUCUGUUCUGCUGUCUGCUGUUUCCCUGGCGCCUGACACAGUGACUGCCACAUGAGAAGAGCCCCUAAAAUAGUGAAAUAAAUGAAGAAUCACAUGAGUGAAAUCCUCUUGGUACCUGAGUAUGGGCAAAGCUGGAAAACAGUGAUGGAGUUUUCCAUAGCAGCAUCCUAAGAAGACACCCUUAAGCUAGUGAGAACGCAUUUUGAGGACAUCAGCAAACACAGCCUAAGAGGGGCUUAAAUGGUGAUAUCACCUGGGCUUGCUUUCUCAGGUACUCUUUUAAAAGGAUGUAAUUCACAGCUGUCCCAAGAAGACUCACCAGGAACACCGUUAAUAACUGCCUUAGAAGCAUUUUGUGAUCUAUCAUUUAGGAUAUUUGUUUAGUUGCUGUAACAGGUACCAAGUAACCAUGGCUUAAACAAGAUGGUCUGUCUUUCAAAUAAAAGUCCAGCUGGUAGGCAGCCCAGGAAAGGUGGGCUGCUCUGCUUCUUGUGAUGGUCUGAGGACCCUUAUGCCUUCUGUUUUGUUGCUUUGCCAUCCUCUCGGGUGUUGUCCUAUCCACAUGAUUGAGUUAAAUGCCCAACAUUAUGUCCGCAUUCCAGCCUCAAGAAAGAGGAAAGAAGAAAGGGAGAGCAUGCAACUUUCUUUUAAGGAUGUGACCUAGAAGUGACAUACAUCACUUAGGCUCACAUGCCAUUGGUGGGAACUUAGUCAUAUGGCCACAACUAGUUGCAAGUGAGGCUGGGAUAUGUCAUCUCUAGAUGGACAAUCAUGUACCUCCCAAAAACUUGGGGAUUACUAUUACCAAAAGGAAGAAAGAAAAUAUGAAUGGGUGGGAUUGGCAGUCUCUCAUCAGUAGGAAAGCAUCAUGACUGAUGCUGAGAAACUCUUUGCCCAAGUCUUUAUGGCCUAUAUAUGUAACUCCAUAUUACUGACAGUGUGCAUCACAGGGUGUGGUAGGUGGCUUCUAAAAUGGCCUCAAAUGAUUCCUGUCUCCUGGUACUCAUGCCCUUGUGUAAUCCCUUUUUCUUGAAUGACUUCCUUCAAGUUAAUAGACUGUUGAUAGGCUGCCACUUCUAUGAUUAGAUUAUUAAAGAUGUACCUCCAUUUUCCUAGCUGACUUUAUUGCCUUUGCAGCUUGCAAGCUUUGAUGAAGCAGCCAUGUUGGGGAGGCCCAUAUAGCAAGAAACCAAAGUCAGUCUCCAGGCAAUAGCCAACAAAGAACUGAGGUCCUCAGUCCAAUAGCCCACAAAGAACUGAAUCCUACCAAUAACCACUUGAGUUUGGAAAUGGAUCCCUUACCAAUCGAGCCUUCAGAUUAGACCCCAGCCUUGGCUGACACCUUCACUGUAGCCUUUUAUGUAAGAUCCUGAAGCAGAUGACGCAACUAAACUGUGCCUGGACUUCUGAUGCACAGAACCCGUGAGAUAAUAAAUACUGCCAGCUCCGUGACAGCAAGAACCUUGUAUGACUUUUUCAUGAUGGAUGUUCAUCUGUGCCAUCUGUAAAUAUUGAAUAAAUAUUUGUGGAAUACAUGAAUCUAAAAGUGAAUGGAAUGAUAAAGAGGUAAGAUAUCAGGGAAAGGGUCAUGACAUCUACUACAGCAUUUGGCACAGACCCAGGUA
Molecule: long non-coding RNA, 3447 nt
Filed under: Homo sapiens (human)
Lineage: Eukaryota; Metazoa; Chordata; Mammalia; Primates; Hominidae
Description: non-protein coding LINC01124:15
Source: RNAcentral